RNAcentral lists this ribosomal RNA (744 nucleotides) under uncultured bacterium. RNAcentral describes it as "bacterial SSU rRNA". It matches the Rfam family "Bacterial small subunit ribosomal RNA", at positions 97 to 843 of the family's 1533-position model. The record is from RNAcentral.
GGCGCACGGGUGAGUAACACGUAUCCAACCUGCCCUUUACUCGGGGAUAGCCUUUCGAAAGAAAGAUUAAUACCCGAUGGCAUAAUGAUUCCGCAUGGUUUCAUUAUUAAAGGAUUCCGGUAAAGGAUGGGGAUGCGUUCCAUUAGGUUGUUGGUGGGGUAACGGCCCACCAAGCCUUCGAUGGAUAGGGGUUCUGAGAGGAAGGUCCCCCACAUUGGAACUGAGACACGGUCCAAACUCCUACGGGAGGCAGCAGUGAGGAAUAUUGGUCAAUGGGCGCUAGCCUGAACCAGCCAAGUAGCGUGAAGGAUGAAGGCUCUAUGGGUCGUAAACUUCUUUUAUAUAAGAAUAAAGUGCAGUAUGUAUACUGUUUUGUAUGUAUUAUAUGAAUAAGGAUCGGCUAACUCCGUGCCAGCAGCCGCGGUAAUACGGAGGAUCCGAGCGUUAUCCGGAUUUAUUGGGUUUAAAGGGAGCGUAGGUGGACUGGUAAGUCAGUUGUGAAAGUUUGCGGCUCAACCGUAAAAUUGCAGUUGAUACUGUCAGUCUUGAGUACAGUAGAGGUGGGCGGAAUUCGUGGUGUAGCGGUGAAAUGCUUAGAUAUCACGAAGAACUCCGAUUGCGAAGGCAGCUCACUGGACUGCAACUGACACUGAUGCUCGAAAGUGUGGGUAUCAAACAGGAUUAGAUACCCUGGUAGUCCACACAGUAAACGAUGAAUACUCGCUGUUUGCGAUAUACAGUAAG